This 617-nucleotide ribosomal RNA is filed under the name Lactococcus garvieae. RNAcentral describes it as "bacterial SSU rRNA". It matches the Rfam family "Bacterial small subunit ribosomal RNA", at positions 75 to 677 of the family's 1533-position model. The record is from RNAcentral. Lineage: Bacteria; Bacillati; Bacillota; Bacilli; Lactobacillales; Streptococcaceae.
AUAGCUUGCUAUUUUUAUGAAGAGCGGCGAACGGGUGAGUAACGCGUGGGAAAUCUGCCGAGUAGCGGGGGACAACGUUUGGAAACGAACGCUAAUACCGCAUAACAAUGAGAAUCGCAUGAUUCUUAUUUAAAAGAAGCAAUUGCUUCACUACUUGAUGAUCCCGCGUUGUAUUAGCUAGUUGGUAGUGUAAAGGACUACCAAGGCGAUGAUACAUAGCCGACCUGAGAGGGUGAUCGGCCACACUGGGACUGAGACACGGCCCAGACUCCUACGGGAGGCAGCAGUAGGGAAUCUUCGGCAAUGGGGGCAACCCUGACCGAGCAACGCCGCGUGAGUGAAGAAGGUUUUCGGAUCGUAAAACUCUGUUGUUAGAGAAGAACGUUAAGUAGAGUGGAAAAUUACUUAAGUGACGGUAUCUAACCAGAAAGGGACGGCUAACUACGUGCCAGCAGCCGCGGUAAUACGUAGGUCCCAAGCGUUGUCCGGAUUUAUUGGGCGUAAAGCGAGCGCAGGUGGUUUCUUAAGUCUGAUGUAAAAGGCAGUGGCUCAACCAUUGUGUGCAUUGGAAACUGGGAGACUUGAGUGCAGGAGAGGAGAGUGGAAUUCCAUGUGUA